GCUGGGUGUGGCGACGCAUGCCUGUAAUCCCAGUGGCUCAGGAGGCUGAGGCAGGAGGAUCUUGAGUUCAAAGCCAGCCUCAGCAACUUAGCAAGACCCUGUCUCUA
Molecule: small RNA, 107 nt
Filed under: Marmota monax (woodchuck)
Lineage: Eukaryota; Metazoa; Chordata; Mammalia; Rodentia; Sciuridae
Source: RNAcentral